Molecule: ribosomal RNA, 338 nt
Filed under: Scaptotrigona mexicana
Lineage: Eukaryota; Metazoa; Arthropoda; Insecta; Hymenoptera; Apidae
Description: partial small subunit ribosomal RNA
Source: RNAcentral
CUGCCCAAUGAAUAAAUUUAAUGGCUGCAGUAUAAAUAACUGUACAAAGGUAGCAUAAUCAAUUGAUUUUUAAAUGAAAUCUGGAAUAAAAGAAUUAAUGAAAUAUAUACUGUCUCAUAUAUAUAAUAUAAAUUUAAAAUUUUAAUAAAAAUGUUAAAAUUUAUUUAUGGGACGAUAAGACCCUAUAGAAUUUUAUAUUAAAUUAUUUUUAUAAUAUUAAAUAUAAAAUUUAAAUUAAUAUUUAAUUGGGAGAAUUAUUAAAUUUAAAAAAUUUUAAUUUUUAAAAACUUUAAUUAAAGAAAAUAUAUUGAUCUUUAAAUUAAAAUUAAUAGAAUAAA